This 681-nucleotide ribosomal RNA is filed under the name uncultured nitrite-oxidizing bacterium. RNAcentral's name for it is "bacterial SSU rRNA". It matches the Rfam family "Bacterial small subunit ribosomal RNA", at positions 21 to 696 of the family's 1533-position model. The record is from RNAcentral.
GGCUCAGAACGAACGCUGGCGGCGCGCCUAAUACAUGCAAGUCGAGCGAGAAGGUGUAGCAAUACACUUGUAAAGCGGCGAACGGGUGAGGAAUACAUGGGUAAUCUACCAUCGAGUGGGGAAUAACCAACCGAAAGGCUGGCUAAUACCGCGUACGCCUCCGAGUCCUCGGGUUCGGAGGGAAAGCUGCACUGUGAGUGUAGCGCUCUUUGAUGAGCUCAUGUCCUAUCAGCUUGUUGGUAGGGUAACGGCCUACCAAGGCUUUGACGGGUAGCUGGUCUGAGAGGACGAUCAGCCACACUGGCACUGCGACACGGGCCAGACUCCUACGGGAGGCAGCAGUAAGGGAUAUUGCGCAAUGGGCGAAAGCCUGACGCAGCGACGCCGCGUGGGGGAUGAAGGUCUUCGGAUUGUAAACCCCUUUCGGGAGGGAAGAUGGAGCGAGCAAUCGUUCGGACGGUACCUCCAGAAGCAGCCACAGCCAACUUCGUGCCAGCAGCCGCGGUAAUACGAAGGUGGCAAGCGUUGUUCGGAUUCACUGGGCGUACAGGGAGCGUAGGCGGUUGGGUAAGCCCUCCGUGAAAUCUCCGGGCCUAACCCGGAAAGUGCAGAGGGGACUGCUCAGCUAGAGGAUGGGAGAGGAGCGCGGAAUUCCCGGUGUAGCGGUGAAAUGCGUAGAGA